GUUGUCUCAGUCGGAACGCCGUCAUGUCAUCGAAAUUUUCCCGUCUCCACACUCGUCUGCUGUUAAUCACUGGUCUGCCUGAGUACGCGGACGGCCGCUACACCGAGGAGGACGUGGCCCAACUGCUCUGCCCGUUCGGGUUCAAACUCUCCAGCCGAGGCCUCUACGUCCUUCCUCAGGCGUGUCUGGUAGGAGCCAGCCUCUCUUGAAGCUUUAAGGAGUUUGAAGCCGUCUGACCCUUUGUGGCCAUCCGUGGUCGUUUCCUUCCUCGCAGGCUUUCGCGGUCAUGCCGUGUACCGACAGCGUCAGGAGCAUCAUCACGUUUUCUAACAAGGAGGACUUGAUGCUCAAAGGUUCCCGCCUUGGUUUGCACGCGGUGAUCAGCAGAAUUUCAACCACACCUUUUGGGUUUUAUAAAUCCCUCAUGAAAAAGGUUCAUGUGGUGAGUACAUCAUCUUAGUCCUAAUUUUCUCUGAACGAAGCAGGAUUCUUCCAGCGUUUCACUCGUCUGCACAUUAUUGGUGUUUAUCUCUUCAAAAUAAUAAUAAAUCAGCCUAACAGAAUAAAUCUCUUUCUAUAAAUCCCAGUUUUCCAUUUGAUCUACAGGUGGAUAAAUUCUCUCCCUUUGUUUCCUGGGCAGAGAGUGAAAGACGACGGUUCGAGGACCGUUUUCGUCCAGAACAUCUCACCCGGCGAGGCCAGAGAGCUCAGGGAAACGCUGACGGCCAUCGGUUCCCUGAAGAACUUCCUGCCUCUGCUCAACAAGGUACCGCAGCGGCCGCCGAACACGUCCUUCAUCUCUGGUGCCGCCUCAUGCCUCGUCCGUCUCCCCUCGAAGGUGUUGGUGGAGUUUGAAUCCAUGAGUGGCGCCGAUCGUCUGGGCGUCUGGUUCAGCCUCCUGAAUCCGUCUCCAGUUUACAGCAUCUACAGGAUGAAGAUCCCACAGAGCAGCAGGACGCCGGCCCCACCAGAACGGGCGGUGAACGCUUUGGCGGGACCAGUGGUCCCAGACGCAAGCGGAGACGUCCCACAUGGCAGUACGCCACCCUUUUGGGUCACCAUGACGACUAACCCCUUUAUUUUCCCAACCAACUGGCCUUGGUUCAUUAUUCCAGAUUACCUGACGGUGGAAGGGAUGAGGGACGUUGAGAACGCUCCGUCUCCCCGUUUCCCCUCCUCCACCGUCCUGAUGACGGGUUUGCCUCGAGGGAACUUCACGCACCAGGACGUCGCCAAGCUGGUUUGGCCCCAUCUCCCCCAACGGACCCUUCGCUCUUUACUCUACGACGUGACGGUCCUCCCCCUGCAGAGACGGGCUUUCGUGCAUUUCAACGACUGGGACUCGUGCUGCCGGUUUCUUCGGAGCCACACCUCGGAGCGGGUUUCCGUCAGAGGCUGCGUCCUCAGCGUUCACUUGGUCUUGGAGGACAUGCAGCCUGCAUAUAGUGAGGAGGUCAUGUACCAAACUCUAAUGAAGUGGAGCAGCUCCCCCGUUCCAGAGCUGGAGUCUCUGGAGGAGCGGCUGCUCUGCGUGGAGAUCUCGGAGGCGUCGGUGGGCAUCGUCAUGAUGGUCAUGGAGGCCGUGGCAGCAGUGGCGCCCUUUGAAGGUUUCCUGCCUCUGGCCAACAGGAUCUGCAUCGAAUUAUCUGAACCCACAGAUGUAACCAGAGUGGUGCAGAAAAUCUCAGCAAACAUUUCAUCCAGGACUCAUAUUUGGAACAAAGUAAAGAGCGUCUCCUGCUUGAACAUCUUUAAAGAGCGUUUGCAGAGUUUAUGGAGCGAGCCCAUUGAUAUGGAGCUGAACGCCAGCAGAACUGCAGAUCCAAAUGACUCUGCACCAGAAAAAGACAGCAGAGCUGUGCAGAUGGAGGAGCGAGCGGCAGGAAGCUCGGCUGAAGCUGAGGAUGAAGUCGGAAGAGUGGAGAUGAAGAAGACCGAAGAAGGUGAGGGGUUCUGAUGAAUGUGAAUCCUUAACUAAUUGAAUGGGAACGUGCUGUGGAUAAAAAAAA
This is a long non-coding RNA of Oryzias sinensis (Chinese medaka), 2009 nucleotides long. Lineage: Eukaryota; Metazoa; Chordata; Actinopteri; Beloniformes; Adrianichthyidae. The record is from Ensembl.